RNAcentral lists this non-coding RNA (31 nucleotides) under Rattus norvegicus (Norway rat). Lineage: Eukaryota; Metazoa; Chordata; Mammalia; Rodentia; Muridae. The record is from RNAcentral.
UUGGACCUUUAAAGAACAAGAAGCGGUGAUC